UACGUAGGUGGCAAGCGUUGUCCGGAAUUAUUGGGCGUAAAGCGCGCGCAGGCGGCUUCUUAAGUCUGAUGUGAAAGCCUACGGCUCAACCGUGGAGGGUCAUUGGAAACUGGGGAGCUUGAGUACAGAAGAGGAGAGUGGAAUUCCAUGUGUAGCGGUGAAAUUCGUAGAUAUUGGGAAGAACACCGGUGGCGAAGGCGGCUCACUGGCCCGUAACUUACGCUCAAGCGCGAUAGCGUAGGGAUCAAACAGG
This 253-nucleotide ribosomal RNA is filed under the name uncultured bacterium. RNAcentral's name for it is "partial 16S ribosomal RNA". It matches the Rfam family "Bacterial small subunit ribosomal RNA", at positions 524 to 776 of the family's 1533-position model. The record is from RNAcentral.